AGAAUUGAAAUUGGGCCAUCUUUGCCGAGAGAGGCCGCCUUCUCUUAGGCUAGCGGUCUUCUACUUCUAGUCAACUGCUUUAUCACGGGCUUCCCUGUUUCCUGGGCUCUGCUCGCUCGUCUAUGCUCCGACCCAGAAAGUAAUAAAAUAAAAACGAUAUUUCCUUGCAGAUUUCAAACUUGUCGUAAAAAAAAAAAAUGGAAUGAAAUAGUGAAUCAAGAUCUAGAUGGAUCCCUAUUUUUUU
RNAcentral lists this long non-coding RNA (244 nucleotides) under Eucalyptus grandis. RNAcentral describes it as "long non-coding RNA (EGRA_LNC004939)". Lineage: Eukaryota; Viridiplantae; Streptophyta; Magnoliopsida; Myrtales; Myrtaceae. The record is from RNAcentral.